Molecule: ribosomal RNA, 360 nt
Filed under: uncultured soil bacterium
Lineage: Bacteria
Description: bacterial SSU rRNA
Rfam family: Bacterial small subunit ribosomal RNA
Source: RNAcentral
AGAACGAACGCUGGCGGCAUGCCUAAUACAUGCAAGUCGAACGAACACUUCGGUGUUAGUGGCGCACGGGUGCGUAACGCGUGGGAAUCUGCCCUUGGGUUCGGAAUAACAGUUGGAAACGACUGCUAAUACCGGAUGAUAUCGAAAGAUCAAAGAUUUAUCGCCCAGGGAUGAGCCCGCGUAGGAUUAGCUAGUUGGUGAGGUAAAGGCUCACCAAGGCGACGAUCCUUAGCUGGUCUGAGAGGAUGAUCAGCCACACUGGGACUGAGACACGGCCAGACCUCCGUACGGGAGGCAGCGAGUAGGGAAUAGUGGACAAUGGGCGCAAGCCUGAUCCAGCGAAUGCCGGCGUAGGAGUGA